GGGGUUGUGCCUGAAUUAAAGGAUUACUUUGAUAGAGUAAACUAUGAAGGUUAAACUCCUUCCAGCCCCU
This 70-nucleotide transfer RNA is filed under the name Desmodema polystictum (polka-dot ribbonfish). RNAcentral's name for it is "tRNA-Ile". It matches the Rfam family "tRNA". Rfam says of the family: Transfer RNA (tRNA) molecules are approximately 80 nucleotides in length. Their secondary structure includes four short double-helical elements and three loops (D, anti-codon, and T loops). The record is from RNAcentral. Lineage: Eukaryota; Metazoa; Chordata; Actinopteri; Lampriformes; Trachipteridae.